RNAcentral lists this ribosomal RNA (250 nucleotides) under uncultured prokaryote. RNAcentral's name for it is "partial 16S ribosomal RNA". It matches the Rfam family "Bacterial small subunit ribosomal RNA", at positions 524 to 773 of the family's 1533-position model. The record is from RNAcentral.
UACGUAUGGAGCAAGCGUUAUCCGGAUUUACUGGGUGUAAAGGGUGCGUAGGUGGCUGCGCAAGUCAGAUGUGAAAGCUCGGGGCUCAACCCCGGAACUGCAUUUGAAACUGCGCAGCUGGAGUCCGGGAGAGGCAGGCGGAAUUCCUAGUGUAGCGGUGAAAUGCGUAGAUAUUAGGAAGAACACCAGUGGCGAAGGCGGCCUGCUGGACCGGUACUGACACUGAGGCACGAAAGCGUGGGGAGCAAAC